Oreochromis niloticus (Nile tilapia) is the source of this 522-nucleotide long non-coding RNA. RefSeq lists it as uncharacterized. Lineage: Eukaryota; Metazoa; Chordata; Actinopteri; Cichliformes; Cichlidae. The record is from RefSeq and is a predicted model, not a curated record. The transcript has 4 exons.
GGAGCGUGGGAAGACUCCAGAAUCCACUCUGGCUGGAAUCCGGUGGAUACAGCAGUGUUACAGGUACAGUACGUGAUAUUAAGGGCAGGCGGUCAUCACUGGGGGAAGACAAGAAGCAGACGUACUUCCAAGAGGGAGCUGCAGUGAGGACACAGCCUGGUCACUGAGGUCAGAGGAGGCGCUGGAAGGUUUCCCUAAUAGUUCCUGGUGAAUCAAAGCAGAACCAUAAAGGUUGCUGGACUGCAUCAUGGCCUUACCCCUGAGCAGUCAUCCUGUUAAAGGAGGAACCAGUUAGAAGCUGUUUUCAAAGUAGCUGAGCAGAUUUCACCUCAACAGACAAAGUCGAUGGCAGAAGAUGUUUGGAGAAGAACUUCAGGCCGUGUACUGACAAGGUAUUUUUUCUUGUUAUCAAAAGACAUUUGGAGUGACGGCUUCUACAACUGGUUGUGCUGAAGUAAAGCUUACAGGCUAAGAAGUCACAGUGUUGAUAUUCAGCACAAAGAGAAAAGCUCACUAGUUUGA